Molecule: ribosomal RNA, 515 nt
Filed under: Staphylococcus aureus
Lineage: Bacteria; Bacillati; Bacillota; Bacilli; Caryophanales; Staphylococcaceae
Description: bacterial SSU rRNA
Rfam family: Bacterial small subunit ribosomal RNA
Source: RNAcentral
UUCGGGGGACAAAGUGACAGGUGGUGCAUGGUUGUCGUCAGCUCGUGUCGUGAGAUGUUGGGUUAAGUCCCGCAACGAGCGCAACCCUUAAGCUUAGUUGCCAUCAUUAAGUUGGGCACUCUAAGUUGACUGCCGGUGACAAACCGGAGGAAGGUGGGGAUGACGUCAAAUCAUCAUGCCCCUUAUGAUUUGGGCUACACACGUGCUACAAUGGACAAUACAAAGGGCAGCGAAACCGCGAGGUCAAGCAAAUCCCAUAAAGUUGUUCUCAGUUCGGAUUGUAGUCUGCAACUCGACUACAUGAAGCUGGAAUCGCUAGUAAUCGUAGAUCAGCAUGCUACGGUGAAUACGUUCCCGGGUCUUGUACACACCGCCCGUCACACCACGAGAGUUUGUAACACCCGAAGCCGGUGGAGUAACCUUUUAGGAGCUAGCCGUCGAAGGUGGGACAAAUGAUUGGGGUGAAGUCGUAACAAGGUAGCCGUAUCGGAAGGUGCGGCUGGAUCACCUCCUUU